Ixodes scapularis (black-legged tick) is the source of this 73-nucleotide non-coding RNA. Lineage: Eukaryota; Metazoa; Arthropoda; Arachnida; Ixodida; Ixodidae. The record is from Rfam.
UCCUGGUUAGCUCAGUUGGUAGAGCUCUCCACUUAAAAUGGAGAGGUCCUUGGUUGGAUACCAGGAUCAGGCG